This 488-nucleotide ribosomal RNA is filed under the name uncultured bacterium. Its description in RNAcentral is "bacterial SSU rRNA". It matches the Rfam family "Bacterial small subunit ribosomal RNA", at positions 31 to 507 of the family's 1533-position model. The record is from RNAcentral.
GAACGCUAGCUACAGGCUUAACACAUGCAAGUCGAGGGGCAGCAUGGUCGAAGCUUGCUUCGACUGAUGGCGACCGGCGCACGGGUGCGUAACGCGUAUCGAACCUGCCCUAUACACGGGGAUAGCCUUGCGAAAGUAAGAUUAAUACCCGAUGCCAAGUUGAGAUCGCAUGAUUUUGAUUUGAAAGAAAUUCGGUAUAGGAUGGCGAUGCGUCUGAUUAGGUAGAUGGCGGGGUAACGGCCCACCAUGCCGACGAUCAGUAGGGGUUCUGAGAGGAAGGUCCCCCACAUUGGAACUGAGACACGGUCCAAACUCCUACGGGAGGCAGCAGUGAGGAAUAUUGGUCAAUGGUCGCGAGACUGAACCAGCCAAGUAGCGUGCAGGACGACGGCCCUCUGGGUUGUAAACUGCUUUUAGUUGGGAAUAAAAGGCGGUACGUGUACCGCGUAUUGUAUGUACCAUCAGAAAAAGGACCGGCUAAUUCCGUG